UACGUAGGGUGCAAGCGUUAAUCGGAAUUACUGGGCGUAAAGCGUGCGCAGGCGGUUAUGCAAGACAGAUGGGAAAUCCCCGGGCUCAACCUGGGAACUGCAUUUGUGACUGCAUGGCUAGAGUACGGUAGAGGGGGAUGGAAUUCCGCGUGUAGCAGUGAAAUGCGUAGAUAUGCGGAGGAACACCGAUGGCGAAGGCAAUCCCCUGGGCCUGCACUGACGCUCAUGCACGAAAGCGUGGGGAGCAAACAGG
Molecule: ribosomal RNA, 253 nt
Filed under: uncultured bacterium
Lineage: Bacteria
Description: partial 16S ribosomal RNA
Rfam family: Bacterial small subunit ribosomal RNA
Source: RNAcentral